This is a long non-coding RNA of Mytilus trossulus (common blue mussel), 413 nucleotides long. RefSeq lists it as uncharacterized. The transcript has 3 exons. The record is from RefSeq and is a predicted model, not a curated record. Lineage: Eukaryota; Metazoa; Mollusca; Bivalvia; Mytilida; Mytilidae.
ACGAGGAAGAUAUUUUCAUCUCAAACUCAUCAACUUACUAUGAUAAGCCAAUUGAGUGCCAACUGUUUGGUAAUAACUUUCAAAAAGACCACUCGAUUAAUGGUAUACAUCUAAGCAUUACGACAGAAACACUCUUCUGGAUUGGUGGGAGGAUUGAAUUCAAGAAUAAAUAUAAUCCUUUAGGAAGUAAGGCACAUUUAGAUUGUGAAAAAGAGUCCAGUAGCAAAACGAUAACUGUAGAGGACUGUGCCAACAAAUGCAUAGAUAAAAAAUACUUUGCUUCUAACAACAAAUCUUGCACUUGCUUAGAGGUUACAGGUGACUUAAAACCGGGACCAUUUGUAAGAAUAGCCAAUGGCGGUUGCCGAAAACGUGUGUUUUGCACUCAUUUUAAGUGUAAUUUGUACGAAAGG